Molecule: ribosomal RNA, 254 nt
Filed under: uncultured bacterium
Lineage: Bacteria
Description: partial 16S ribosomal RNA
Rfam family: Bacterial small subunit ribosomal RNA
Source: RNAcentral
CUUUCUUUGCUGGCGACCGGCGCACGGGUGAGUAACACGUAUCCAACCUGCCCUUUACUCGGGGAUAGCCUUUCGAAAGAAAGAUUAAUACCCGAUAGUAUAAUGAUUCCGCAUGGUUUCAUUAUUAAAGGAUUCCGGUAAAGGAUGGGGAUGCGUUCCAUUAGGUUGUUGGUGAGGUAACGGCUCACCAAGCCUUCGAUGGAUAGGGGUUCUGAGAGGAAGGUCCCCCACAUUGGAACUGAGGCACGGUCCAA